AGUGAACGCUGGCGGUAGGCCUAACACAUGCAAGUCGAACGGCAGCACAGUAAGAGCUUGCUCUUACGGGUGGCGAGUGGCGGACGGGUGAGGAAUACAUCGGAAUCUACUUUUUCGUGGGGGAUAACGUAGGGAAACUUACGCUAAUACCGCAUACGACCUACGGGUGAAAGCAGGGGAUCUUCGGACCUUGCGCGAUUGAAUGAGCCGAUGUCGGAUUAGCUAGUUGGCGGGGUAAAGGCCCACCAAGGCGACGAUCCGUAGCUGGUCUGAGAGGAUGCUCAGCCACACUGGAACUGAGACACGGUCCAGACUCCUACGGGAGGCAGCAGUGGGGAAUAUUGGACAAUGGGCGCAAGCCUGAUCCAGCCAUACCGCGUGGGUGAAGAAGGCCUUCGGGUUGUAAAGCCCUUUUGUUGGGAAAGAAAAGCAGCAGGUUAAUACCCCGCUGUUCGGACGGUACCCAAAGAAUAAGCACCGGCUAACUUCGU
This 491-nucleotide ribosomal RNA is filed under the name uncultured bacterium. RNAcentral describes it as "partial 16S ribosomal RNA". It matches the Rfam family "Bacterial small subunit ribosomal RNA", at positions 29 to 506 of the family's 1533-position model. The record is from RNAcentral.